ACUUGGCUGGCUUAGUCGGUAGAGCACGUGACUCUUAUUCUCAGGGUCGUGAGUUCAAGCCUCAUGUUGGGUG
RNAcentral lists this transfer RNA (73 nucleotides) under Felis catus (domestic cat). It matches the Rfam family "tRNA". From Rfam's summary of the family: Transfer RNA (tRNA) molecules are approximately 80 nucleotides in length. Their secondary structure includes four short double-helical elements and three loops (D, anti-codon, and T loops). Further hydrogen bonds mediate the characteristic L-shaped molecular structure. tRNAs have two regions of fundamental functional importance: the anti-codon, which is responsible for specific mRNA codon recognition, and the 3' end, to which the tRNAs corresponding amino acid is attached (by aminoacyl-tRNA synthetases). tRNAs cope with the degeneracy of the genetic code in two manners: having more than one tRNA (with a specific anti-codon) for a particular amino acid; and 'wobble' base-pairing, i.e. permitting non-standard base-pairing at the 3rd anti-codon position. The record is from Rfam by way of RNAcentral. RNAcentral also lists the same sequence under 6 other names. Lineage: Eukaryota; Metazoa; Chordata; Mammalia; Carnivora; Felidae.